UCUAACUUCCAGGCAGCCAGCAAGAGAGUCUUUUCGGAGAACACAUGCACCCCCAAAAUAUUUAGCACACACAAACACACGCACACAGAGAAAGAUGCAGGUUCUAUAUAUAGUUUGUAUGAAUUCAAAGUUACUGUCGUUGGGAGAAGGAACUGAAAUUUCCUGAUCAUCAACGGUUUAUCUGCACUGUUUUAUUAAAUGCAUCAAGAAGAAAAAGAAGACUCAAUCAUUAAGCAUCCUCGUUAGGAUUUCCUUCCUCCCACCUUUGAAGGAUGAUCGGCGUGGAAACCUACUUUAAAACCUGGAAGAUGCCUUCUGAAUGAAUGGAACAGCCCGGAGGACUCUUGAAAGGAAAGAAUCUGAAGUUGGGCCACUUGGUCUGCUCUUUGCAACAUGUCUUGUCCACUUCUCUAUCGAACAGAAGACCGAGUCGCUUUUCUUUCUCUUUUUAAUCCCUCCCUCUCUUUUUUAUUUAAGAACUUGAUUUGAAGCAGGAAACAGAAAUGAGCUUUGGCAUACUUUGGCGGAAAAAUCAAAAGAAAAGCAGUGGGCCCACGAGAAAACAUUCGGAGGGUGUUGUCACACCGGGAUACAUCGGGACACCACCGGAUAUACUUCCUGAUCACUCCCAGGCUCCAGAGAAGCUCCGAG
RNAcentral lists this long non-coding RNA (651 nucleotides) under Sarcophilus harrisii (Tasmanian devil). RNAcentral describes it as "lncRNA (ENSSHAG00000021464.1)". The record is from RNAcentral. Lineage: Eukaryota; Metazoa; Chordata; Mammalia; Dasyuromorphia; Dasyuridae.